Molecule: transfer RNA, 82 nt
Filed under: Propionibacteriaceae bacterium
Lineage: Bacteria; Bacillati; Actinomycetota; Actinomycetes; Propionibacteriales; Propionibacteriaceae
Description: tRNA-Gln
Rfam family: tRNA
About the family: Transfer RNA (tRNA) molecules are approximately 80 nucleotides in length. Their secondary structure includes four short double-helical elements and three loops (D, anti-codon, and T loops). Further hydrogen bonds mediate the characteristic L-shaped molecular structure. tRNAs have two regions of fundamental functional importance: the anti-codon, which is responsible for specific mRNA codon recognition, and the 3' end, to which the tRNAs corresponding amino acid is attached (by aminoacyl-tRNA synthetases). tRNAs cope with the degeneracy of the genetic code in two manners: having more than one tRNA (with a specific anti-codon) for a particular amino acid; and 'wobble' base-pairing, i.e. permitting non-standard base-pairing at the 3rd anti-codon position.
Source: RNAcentral
ACCCAGGUUGGUCUUCCGGCAGGGCCCGCCUGACUUUGAAUCAGGAUUAGCGAAGUGGGUUCGACUCCCACCCUGGGUGCCA